RNAcentral lists this transfer RNA (82 nucleotides) under Choricystis parasitica. Its description in RNAcentral is "tRNA-Leu". It matches the Rfam family "tRNA". From Rfam's summary of the family: Transfer RNA (tRNA) molecules are approximately 80 nucleotides in length. Their secondary structure includes four short double-helical elements and three loops (D, anti-codon, and T loops). The record is from RNAcentral. Lineage: Eukaryota; Viridiplantae; Chlorophyta; Trebouxiophyceae. RNAcentral also lists the same sequence under 1 other name.
GCUCGCUUGGUGAAAUCGGUAAACACGACAGACUUAAAAUCUGUUCCCUUUGGGAGUAUCGGUUCAAGUCCGAUAGUGAGCA